GAUGAACGCUGGCGGCGUGCCUAAUACAUGCAAGUCGAGCGAACGGACGAGAAGCUUGCUUCUCUGAUGUUAGCGGCGGACGGGUGAGUAACACGUGGAUAACCUACCUACAAGACUGGGAUAACUUCGGGAAACCGGAGCUAAUACCGGAUGAUAUUUUGAACCGCAUGGUUCAAAAGUGAAAGACGGUCUUGCUGUCACUUAUAGAUGGAUCCGCGCUGCAUUAGCUAGUUGGUAAGGUAACGGCUUACCAAGGCAACGAUGCAUAGCCGACCUGAGAGGGUGAUCGGCCACACUGGAACUGAGACACGGUCCAGACUCCUACGGGAGGCAGCAGUAGGGAAUCUUCCGCAAUGGGCGAAAGCCUGACGGAGCAACGCCGCGUGAGUGAUGAAGGUAUUCGGAUCGUAAAACUCUGUUAUUAGGGAAGAACAUAUGUGUAAGUAACUGUGCACAUCUUGACGGUACCUAAUCAGAAAGCCACGGCUAACUACGUG
Molecule: ribosomal RNA, 497 nt
Filed under: uncultured bacterium
Lineage: Bacteria
Description: partial 16S ribosomal RNA
Rfam family: Bacterial small subunit ribosomal RNA
Source: RNAcentral